GGAGAGGUGGCAGAGUGGUCGAUUGCGUCUGACUUGAAAUCAGAUGGGUGUGCAAGCAUCCCCAGGGUUCGAAUCCCUGCCUCUCCG
RNAcentral lists this transfer RNA (87 nucleotides) under Leptolyngbya sp. 'hensonii'. It matches the Rfam family "tRNA". Rfam says of the family: Transfer RNA (tRNA) molecules are approximately 80 nucleotides in length. Their secondary structure includes four short double-helical elements and three loops (D, anti-codon, and T loops). Further hydrogen bonds mediate the characteristic L-shaped molecular structure. tRNAs have two regions of fundamental functional importance: the anti-codon, which is responsible for specific mRNA codon recognition, and the 3' end, to which the tRNAs corresponding amino acid is attached (by aminoacyl-tRNA synthetases). tRNAs cope with the degeneracy of the genetic code in two manners: having more than one tRNA (with a specific anti-codon) for a particular amino acid; and 'wobble' base-pairing, i.e. permitting non-standard base-pairing at the 3rd anti-codon position. Lineage: Bacteria; Bacillati; Cyanobacteriota; Cyanophyceae; Leptolyngbyales; Leptolyngbyaceae. The record is from Rfam by way of RNAcentral.